CACGUAGGGGGCGAGCGUUGUCCGGAUUUAUUGGGCGUAAAGAGCUCGUAGGCGGCUCAGUAAGUCGGGUGUGAAACCUCCAGGCUCAACCUGGAGACGCCACCUGAUACUGCUGUGGCUUGAGUCCGGUAGGGGAGCGUGGAAUUCCUGGUGUAGCGGUGAAAUGCGCAGAUAUCAGGAGGAACACCAGCGGCGAAGGCGGCGCUCUGGGCCGGUACUGACGCUGAGGAGCGAAAGCGUGGGUAGCAAACAGG
This 254-nucleotide ribosomal RNA is filed under the name uncultured bacterium. RNAcentral describes it as "partial 16S ribosomal RNA". It matches the Rfam family "Bacterial small subunit ribosomal RNA", at positions 524 to 776 of the family's 1533-position model. The record is from RNAcentral.